GCCUUGCUAGCUCAAUCGGUAGAGCGUGUGACUUUUACAGACGCUGUAAAUUCAAAUCCCAAGGUUGCGGGUUCGACCCCCGCGUGAGGCU
This is a non-coding RNA of Mycena vitilis, 91 nucleotides long. The record is from the annotation of a GenBank genome assembly. Lineage: Eukaryota; Fungi; Basidiomycota; Agaricomycetes; Agaricales; Mycenaceae.